Molecule: small RNA, 75 nt
Organism: Magnetospira sp. QH-2
Lineage: Bacteria; Pseudomonadati; Pseudomonadota; Alphaproteobacteria; Rhodospirillales; Thalassospiraceae
Rfam family: Makes More Granules Regulator RNA (mmgR)
About the family: SuhB later renamed mmgR (makes more granules regulator) was a putative non-coding RNA found multiple times in the Agrobacterium tumefaciens genome and related alpha-proteobacteria. Other non-coding RNAs uncovered in the same analysis include: speF, ybhL, metA, and serC.
Source: Rfam
UGUUGUUGCAUUCUUGAACGUUUCCUCCCUGCACUUGGGCCGCCCCUUACCGGGCGGCCAUUUUUUUUGGUCGCC